GGUGGUAAAGGAAGAAAUUUCAGAUGACAAUGCAAAACUACCGUGCUUCAAUGGAAGAGUGGUGUCCUGGAGUCCAGGGACAGCCUCCCAGUGGAAGUUGGGAAUGUGGAAAGAAUUGGCCUGUGGUUGCUCCAGAUCAGAGCCAGCUGAGUGGCCUCUGCCAGCAGUUUGCACUAAGUGGGUUGGCCAUUAUCUGUGUUUUUUAGGAAGGCUUUGCAACAUCUGGGAAUAAUUCCCUGACAGGCUGCUGAGGAUGUGCACUAUUUCCUAUUGGCUGGCAGUGAUGUCAUAGCUGUGUGCGAGUCUCCUUCUCUCUCUGUUUUCUUCUCUAUUAUCUAGGUGCCAGCAGAUAAUACUUGUCUGUGCGUAAGCUUUUUAGACUCUGUGUUUGUAAUUGCCGUUAGCAUUGUCGUGUAGAACUGUUUCGUCUUCUGCCACACAAGAGAACACAGAAGAGUUAGGAUUGUUGAAUAAUCUUCAGCAAAGUGUAUUGUUGCCUUUUGGUGUGUAAUUGAGGCAGUGAAUUAAAAUCCAAAUAAACAGAUUCCUGUUGAUUUCUAGUGUGUAACA
This 570-nucleotide long non-coding RNA is filed under the name Apteryx rowi (Okarito brown kiwi). RNAcentral describes it as "lncRNA (ENSARWG00000004362.1)". Lineage: Eukaryota; Metazoa; Chordata; Aves; Apterygiformes; Apterygidae. The record is from RNAcentral.